This 492-nucleotide ribosomal RNA is filed under the name uncultured bacterium. RNAcentral describes it as "partial 16S ribosomal RNA". It matches the Rfam family "Bacterial small subunit ribosomal RNA", at positions 29 to 507 of the family's 1533-position model. The record is from RNAcentral.
AGUGAACGCUGGCGGUAGGCCUAACACAUGCAAGUCGAACGGCAGCACAGUAAGAGCUUGCUCUUACGGGUGGCGAGUGGCGGACGGGUGAGGAAUACAUCGGAAUCUACUUUUUCGUGGGGGAUAACGUAGGGAAACUUACGCUAAUACCGCAUACGACCUACGGGUGAAAGCAGGGGAUCUUCGGACCUUGCGCGAUUGAAUGAGCCGAUGUCGGAUUAGCUAGAUGGCGGGGUAAAGGCCCACCAAGGCGACGAUCCGUAGCUGGUCUGAGAGGAUGAUCAGCCACACUGGAACUGAGACACGGUCCAGACUCCUACGGGAGGACGCAGUGGGGAAUAUUGGACAAUGGGCGCAAGCCUGAUCCAGCCAUACCGCGUGAGUGAAGAAGGCCUUCGGGUUGUAAAGCCCUUUUGUUGGGAAAGAAAAGCAGCAGGUUAAUACCCCGCUGUUCUGACGGUACCCAAAGAAUAAGCACCGACUAACUUCGUG